RNAcentral lists this transfer RNA (72 nucleotides) under Candidatus Acinetobacter avistercoris. It matches the Rfam family "tRNA". From Rfam's summary of the family: Transfer RNA (tRNA) molecules are approximately 80 nucleotides in length. Their secondary structure includes four short double-helical elements and three loops (D, anti-codon, and T loops). Further hydrogen bonds mediate the characteristic L-shaped molecular structure. tRNAs have two regions of fundamental functional importance: the anti-codon, which is responsible for specific mRNA codon recognition, and the 3' end, to which the tRNAs corresponding amino acid is attached (by aminoacyl-tRNA synthetases). tRNAs cope with the degeneracy of the genetic code in two manners: having more than one tRNA (with a specific anti-codon) for a particular amino acid; and 'wobble' base-pairing, i.e. permitting non-standard base-pairing at the 3rd anti-codon position. The record is from RNAcentral. Lineage: Bacteria; Pseudomonadati; Pseudomonadota; Gammaproteobacteria; Moraxellales; Moraxellaceae.
GCUAUGUAGCUCAGUUGGUCAGAGCACCGCACUCAUAAUGCGGGGGUCACAGGUUCAAGUCCCGUCAUAGCC